GAUGAAGAACGUAGCGAAAUGCGAUAAGUAAUGUGAAUUGCAGAAUUCAGUGAAUCAUCGAAUCUUUGAACGCACAUUGCGCCCGCCAGUAUUCUGGCGGGCAUGCCUGUUCGAGCGUCAUUACAACCCUCAGGCCCCCGGGCCUGGCGUUGGGGAUCGGCGGAGCCCCCCGUGGGCACACGCCGUCCCCCAAAUACAGUGGCGGUCCCGCCGCAGCUUCCAUCGCGUAGUAGCUAACACCUCGCGACUGGAGAGCGGCGCGGCCACGCCGUAAAACACCCAACUCUUCUGAAGUUGACCUCGAAUCAGGUAGGAAUACCCGCUGAACCUAAGCAUAUCAAUAAGCGGAGGA
RNAcentral lists this unclassified non-coding RNA (352 nucleotides) under soil metagenome. RNAcentral describes it as "partial contains 5.8S ribosomal RNA, internal transcribed spacer 2, and large subunit ribosomal RNA". The stretch from base 1 to 120 matches the Rfam family "5.8S ribosomal RNA", at positions 35 to 154 of the family's 154-position model. The record is from RNAcentral.